CAAUAGCGUAUAUUAAAGUUGUUGCGGUUAAAAAGCUCGUAGUUGGAUUUCUGUCGAAGACUGCCGGUCCGCUCUAUGAGCGUGUAUCUGGUUAGGCUUUGGCAUCCUCUUGAAGAACGUUGCUGUGCUUGAUUGCAUGGUGCGGUAUUCAAGACUUUUACUUUGAGGAAAUUAGAGUGUUCACGGCAGGCAAGCGCCUUGAAUAUAUUAGCAUGGAAUAAUAAUAUAGGAUCUUGGUUCUAUUUUGUUGGUUUCUAGAACUAGGAUAAUGAUUAAUAGGAUAAUUGGGGCGGAUUUGUAUUAACGCGUCAGAGGUGGAAUUCUUGGAUUGCGUUACGACAAACUACUGCGAAAGCAUUUGCCAAGGAUGUUUUCAUUUGAUCAAGAACGAAAGUAUGGGGAUCGA
This 406-nucleotide ribosomal RNA is filed under the name uncultured eukaryote. RNAcentral describes it as "SSU rRNA". It matches the Rfam family "Eukaryotic small subunit ribosomal RNA", at positions 592 to 1001 of the family's 1831-position model. The record is from RNAcentral.